GAUGAACGCUGGCGGCGUGCCUAAUACAUGCAAGUCGAGCGAACGGACGAGAAGCUUGCUUUUCUGAUGUUAGCGGCGGACGGGUGAGUAACACGUGGAUAACCUACCUAUCAGACUGGGAUCACUUCGGGAAACCGGAGCUAAUACCGGAUAAUCUUUUGAACCGCAUGGUUCAAAAGUGAAAGACGGUCUUGCUGUAACUUAUCGAUGGAUACGAGCUGUAUUAGCUAGUUGGUAAGGUAAAGGCUUACCAAGGCAACGAUGCAUAGCCGAGCUGAGAGGGUGAUCGGCCACACUGGAGCGGGACCACGGACCAUACGCCUACGGGAGGCACCAGUAGGGAAUCUUCCGCAAUGGGCGAAAGCCUGGCGGAGCAACGCCGCGUGAGUGAUGAAGAUCUUCGGAUCGUAAAACUCUGUUAUUAGUGAAGAACAGAUUUGUAAGUAACUGUGCACAUCUUGACGGUACCGAAUCAGAAAGCCACGGCUAACUACGUG
Molecule: ribosomal RNA, 497 nt
Filed under: uncultured bacterium
Lineage: Bacteria
Description: partial 16S ribosomal RNA
Rfam family: Bacterial small subunit ribosomal RNA
Source: RNAcentral